CGUCCCGGCGGUCGCGAGGAGGUCCCCCGGGCGCGAAGAAGACGCCAGCCCACCCCAGCCGCCGGGGAGAUCGCCCAGGCCGCGCUCAGCCCCGCCCCUGGCUCUGCCCCCGCCGCGGAGCGGAACCCUCCAAGUCGCGGCCUGAGGAGGAAGGAAAAGGGGGCGGCCCGGGAGAGCCGCUGCGAAAUCAGCAACGGGCGGGAACCAGGUUGCCUCCCUGAGUCCCUUCUCUCCCCGGCCGGCUGCCAACCACAGCCAAGGCCAGAGAAACAGGCCCUUCUGCCGCGGCCACCUGGGCGCCUUGGACCCGCCCUCCGGACUCGCCCCCGCCCCUGCCGCGGAGUGGAACGUUUGGAACCCUGAGGGGCACAGCUCCUCUAGCAAUUCCGAUGUGAAAAGAAGAUGGAUGGAGAAGCACUGAUUCAGCCAUGGCUGACAUGUCGGAGUUGGAAUGGACAGUGCCCGGACCUCACAGUCUCAGAGAACUGGAGAAGAGUAAAGCUGAAGAGGGCAUCAUCUGGUUACAAAUGACAAGUCCAGGGCUCCAGCUUCUUCGGCUCCUUGGCCAUGUGUGUACUUUAUGAUGAAGCGCCCAGCUUCUGCAGGAUAUCCAUACUGCCAAGGUCAAAAGCAACAAUAAGCGACGUGGGGCUCAGUCUGUUCUCGUGGGCUACAAUGCAUGCUUCUGGUUUCCAGGUUGUUCUUGCUCUCCCUUAUUUUACAUUUAUCCUUCCUUCCCAACUGCCUGUCCGAUAGAUGUCGAGUCCCAACAUCAGAUGUGAAGAUGAGAGCUUUAUAGAGACUGCUUAACCAGCUCCCACAGUUGUAUUAGGACAAAUCCCUGUAGCAAAUCCCUUUGUGUGUGUGUGUGUGUGUGUGUGUGUGUGUAUGUGUGUGUGUGUGCGCGCGCACGCGCGUGCACGCACCUUAGUGGUUCUCCUGUGAUUGAAUCCUGACUUACACAGUUUGAGAUAGAAACCUUCUGAAGCAAUUAGAUUAAAUGGUCUAUAACUGUGCUGUCCAACAUGGUAGCCAUUAGCUACAUGUGGCUAUUUAAAUUUAAAUUAAUUAAAGUUAAACAUAAUUAGAAUUUAGUACCCCAGUCAAGUUUCAAGUGCUCAAUACUGUGGUCACAUGUGGCUGGUGGCCACUGUUUUGGGCAGCACAGAUAUAGAGCACUUCCGUUAUUGCAAAAAAAUGUUCUAUGAGCACUGGUCUAUAGUGAUAAUUACUAGUAUUUACUGAGUUCUCACCAUGUGUCAGAUGCAGAUUCCAAGUUUGCUCUGGAGAGCACGAUGCGGCAGGCAAACGGGGAAAGAGAGAGAGUGAUGGGAAUCAGGUGGGAGAUUUUUUUUUUUUUUUUUGAGAUGGAGUCUCUCUCACUCUGUCACCCAGGCUGGAGUGCAGUGGCACAAUAUCGGAUCACUGCAACCUCCGCCUCCCAGGUUCAAGUGAUUCUCCUGCCUCAGUCUCCCAAGUAGCCAGGAUUACAGACUUGUACCACCACGCCUGGCUAAGUUUUGUAUUUUUAGUAGAGACAGGGUUUCACCAUGUUGGCCAGGCUGGUCUCGAACCCCUGACCUCAGGUGAUCCACCCUCCUUGACCUUCCAAAGUGCUGAGAUUACAGGUGUGAGCCAUUGCACCUGGCCAGGUGGGAGAUUUUUAAUGACCAGGCCUGGAGGUGGCACACAUCACUUAUACCCACAUCCAUUGGCCAGCACUCAGUUACACGGCCACUUCUAACUACAAGGGAGGUUGGGAAAUGUAGCCUAGCUGUGUGCUGAGGAAGAAAAAGUAAAAGCUUUGGUGCCAGCCAGUCUCUGCCACAUCAGAUUUAAUUUGAGCGCUGUGAAGUAAUUAAUGCCCAUUAAACUAAGGGUGGGACAAGAUUAAUGCUAAAAUCACUCUCCCCAGCCACCAUUUUCUCUCUUGUUCUUUGUCAUGAUAUUGACAAGGUCAAAAGUCAGGCAGUCAGCAUGAACCCGAGGAGGAGAAGUCCUUGCCACUUUGAGGCUGAAUAUGAACAGCCCCUUCUUUAUGACUCACCCUAUCAGCUUUGCUCCUAGCGAAUGUUCAUAUCGUGGUUCUCCGGGACCCUUGAAAGUGGGACUCCUAUGUGAGGAACUAGUUCUAUAAACAACUACAUGCUAGUAAAAAACCAUUAAGAGGGUUGGAAUUAGGCAUAGUCCUGCUGCAUAGAAAUCCUACUUAGUUGGAAAAAUUGUAUUUUUAAGUUGCCUCUGUUUUGAAGCCACGUUAACCCUUAACCUUCAGAAAAUCCUUAGCCAGCCUUUAUACAUUGGUAGCUCCUGUUCUAAUAAUGUCUUCUCCUCCUAUUUUCUUUGGCUUGUCAUGAGCUUUGAAAGUUUGAUCUGAGAUCCCUCACUUUUAAUAAUCUGUAACUCUGAUUUGGUAAUCUCCUACAUAUGAAUAAAAUGUCUGUGUUCAUUUAUUUCUAAUGAAUAAAUGAACAUGCCUGCUGAGCCAAGCCUUAAAUGUGAUUAAGGAGACUGACUUGGGUUCAGAUCCUGGCUCUGCCUUGAGUAAGUUUCUAACAUUCCUCUGCUUGUAUUUCCUUAUCUGUAAAAUGGGAGUGAUUUCUUUGAAUGAAAUUAUAUUACAUUUAUCAAGCAUUUUAUCACAGUUUCAACAAUAAGGUGUAAUUAUUAUUAAUUCAGACUAUAUGAUUCUGUGCCCUUGGAUAAAGUUUACCAUUAUAUAAUAAACUACUUUUCUCACUUAA
RNAcentral lists this long non-coding RNA (2744 nucleotides) under Homo sapiens (human). RNAcentral describes it as "HSALNT0407095". The record is from RNAcentral. Lineage: Eukaryota; Metazoa; Chordata; Mammalia; Primates; Hominidae.